UCUACUCUGUAGCCCGUAAGCCCAUGGCCUGAAUCAGCUAAUCCAAGCUUCCUCCGAUGCCAAUUCCAUGGCGGCGGAGGCCGGCAGCUUUUCCGAGUUGCGGUGCGGAUCCAGUAGCCAUGGCGGUGCGCUUGGUGGUGGCCUGCGCGGGAUGAUGGUGUCGUGUAGCCCUCCGCGGUGCCGUAUGCUGCUGCGCGGCGGCGGGAAUCUGCAGCUGGUUCAGUGACGUCAGCCCUUAUUGUUCAGCCUGUAGAAUUGUGAAGGAAAACAUACCAGUGCCUUGAAGGAGAUGAGAGAGCCAUUGAAGAUGCGCAUCUUGAGCCUGUCAUCAGGUAUUGAGGCCUCUACCAUGCACACAAGAGAGACCCAUUGGUUCCUGUUGACUGAAUCGCCCACAAAUACUAAUCUCUUGUUCCUCAGCUUUUCAAGCAGCUUGGUGGCAUCGAAUCUGUUUUGACAUGGCAAAUCCUGACAUCAGUCAUCAUGUCUUCCUAGUUUCCUACCGUGCAGAGGCCGUGACAUACCCUUGCAGGAUUGUACAGAUAAUAAAAUAAGAAGCAGGUAGAAGUUUUUCUCGGUUCUCAUCUUUCACUGUCAGGUGCAGUAGAUCUGAAAAGCGUGGAUGAUGAGCAGCAGCAUUCAGUGGUUGCAAGGUUGGAGAUGGGUACAAUGAUUGCUGGUUUGCAGUAGAUGAGGUGAGCGAGCCUUAGAAGGCUAGUAACAUCAGAGCUGUACACAGUCACACACACACACAGUAGCAGGAAGCAGCUAGCCUGGGUGUUGUACCAUGGGAUUCGUUCCUGCUAGUUGCUGGGCACAUGAUUCUUCAUGCAUGCACAAGCCCAAGAAGAGGGGCAUGCACUCGGUACGACCUUUAUAUGAUGGUGUACGUCCUUGAUAGAGAGAGGCAUGUAAAGAUACAGUACAUCUAACUAGAAGUGAGAUUGUUUGCAUCAA
Long non-coding RNA from Panicum virgatum (switchgrass), 957 nucleotides. RefSeq lists it as uncharacterized. Lineage: Eukaryota; Viridiplantae; Streptophyta; Magnoliopsida; Poales; Poaceae. The record is from RefSeq and is a predicted model, not a curated record. The transcript is spliced from 4 exons.